RNAcentral lists this transfer RNA (69 nucleotides) under Phocaeicola coprocola. Its description in RNAcentral is "tRNA-Ile". It matches the Rfam family "tRNA". Rfam says of the family: Transfer RNA (tRNA) molecules are approximately 80 nucleotides in length. Their secondary structure includes four short double-helical elements and three loops (D, anti-codon, and T loops). Lineage: Bacteria; Pseudomonadati; Bacteroidota; Bacteroidia; Bacteroidales; Bacteroidaceae. The record is from RNAcentral.
UGGCAGAUAGUUCAGGCGGUAGAACACCAUGUAUCAUGGAAGUCACGGGUUCAAGUCCCGUUCUGUCAG